Molecule: ribosomal RNA, 460 nt
Filed under: uncultured bacterium
Lineage: Bacteria
Description: partial 16S ribosomal RNA
Rfam family: Bacterial small subunit ribosomal RNA
Source: RNAcentral
CCUACGGGUGGCAGCAGUGAGGAAUAUUGGUCAAUGGACGAGAGUCUGAACCAGCCACGUAGCGUGAAGGAUGACUGCCCUAUGGGUUGUAAACUUCUUUUAUAUGGGAAUAAAAUGUUCCACGUGUGGGAUUUUGUAUGUACCAUAUGAAUAAGGAUCGGCUAACUCCGUGCCAGCAGCCGCGGUAAUACGGAGGAUCCGAGCGUUAUCCGGAUUUAUUGGGUUUAAAGGGAGCGUAGGUGGAUUGUUAAGUCAGUUGUGAAAGUUUGCGGCUCAACCGUAAAAUUGCAGUUGAAACUGGCAGUCUUGAGUACAGUAGAGGUGAGCGGAAUUCGUGGUGUAGCGGUGAAAUGCUUAGAUAUCACGAAGAACUCCGAUUGCGAAGGCAGUUCACUGGACUGCAACUGACACUGAGGCUCGAAAGUGUGGGUAUCAAACAGGAUUAGAUACCCUUGUAGUC